GACGAACGCUGGCGGCAUGCCUAACACAUGCAAGUCGAACGAAGCCUUCGGGCUUAGUGGCGCACGGGUGCGUAACGCGUGGGAAUCUGCCCUUUGGUUCGGAAUAACAGUUGGAAACGACUGCUAAUACCGGAAGAUGACGAAAGUCCAAAGAUUUAUCGCCAGAGGAUGAGCCCGCGUAGGAUUAGCUAGUUGGUGUGGUAAAGGCGCACCAAGGCGACGAUCCUUAGCUGGUCUGAGAGGAUGAUCAGCCACACUGGGACUGAGACACGGCCCAGACUCCUACGGGAGGCAGCAGUGGGGAAUAUUGGACAAUGGGCGAAAGCCUGAUCCAGCAAUGCCGCGUGAGUGAUGAAGGCCCUAGGGUUGUAAAGCUCUUUUACCCGGGAUGAUAAUGACAGUACCGGGAGAAUAAGCCCCGGCUAACUCCGUGCCAGCAGCCGCCGUAA
RNAcentral lists this ribosomal RNA (449 nucleotides) under uncultured bacterium. RNAcentral's name for it is "partial 16S ribosomal RNA". It matches the Rfam family "Bacterial small subunit ribosomal RNA", at positions 28 to 523 of the family's 1533-position model. The record is from RNAcentral.